CCUGAACGCUGGCGGCGUGGCUAAGACAUGCAAGUCGCACGGUGUAGCAAUACACAGUGGCGAACGGGUGAGUAAUGAAUCGCUAAUGUACCCCGGACUCUGGGAUAGCUGACCGAAAGGUCAGGUAAUACCAGAUGAGACCCCGAUCAGGCAUCUGAUUGUGCUCAAAGGUCCGCCGGUCUGGGAGCAGGCGAUUUCGU
RNAcentral lists this ribosomal RNA (200 nucleotides) under uncultured bacterium. RNAcentral describes it as "partial 16S ribosomal RNA". It matches the Rfam family "Bacterial small subunit ribosomal RNA", at positions 30 to 239 of the family's 1533-position model. The record is from RNAcentral.